UCGACCAGCAAGAACGACGCGACCAU
RNAcentral lists this unclassified non-coding RNA (26 nucleotides) under Mus musculus (house mouse). RNAcentral's name for it is "oocyte_clustered_small_RNA531". Lineage: Eukaryota; Metazoa; Chordata; Mammalia; Rodentia; Muridae. The record is from RNAcentral.